This 235-nucleotide long non-coding RNA is filed under the name Elaeis guineensis (African oil palm). RNAcentral's name for it is "long non-coding RNA (EGUI_LNC068739)". The record is from RNAcentral. Lineage: Eukaryota; Viridiplantae; Streptophyta; Magnoliopsida; Arecales; Arecaceae.
GCAUCUUGUAGACAUCUCUCCUCAGCUUUGGAUCUGUGCCCUUUUCCUUAUAUUAGUUGAAGGAGCCCUAUAUAGGAUUUAGGAGAUUGAUCCUAACCAUCAAAAAAAAUCAAGAACCCUUCUUGAUUUUCUUUUCCUCUCUUUAAGGCUUCUCUAGAUCUCUAUCUGGAGUUGGAACAGGGGUGUGGAAAGGAGGGGACAAGGAGUUGUUGGCGUGGAUGAGAAAGAGGGAACA